UCGGUCCUCGGUAGUGGCCCCCGGGUGUCUAGCGCCCCCGUGGUCCUCGAUCGAAGACCG
Molecule: non-coding RNA, 60 nt
Filed under: Nigerium massiliense
Lineage: Bacteria; Bacillati; Actinomycetota; Actinomycetes; Propionibacteriales; Propionibacteriaceae
Description: Actino-pnp RNA
Rfam family: Actino-pnp RNA
Source: RNAcentral